Molecule: long non-coding RNA, 507 nt
Filed under: Marmota monax (woodchuck)
Lineage: Eukaryota; Metazoa; Chordata; Mammalia; Rodentia; Sciuridae
Source: RNAcentral
CUAACUAUUCUUGGUUCCACUGGGGUGCCUUCUUCCCUUAUCAAUUUACUUAAUACCCCUUCCAUUUUUUCAUCACAAAGACAAUACAUUUCAAGACAAAACAAGACACAAACAUACUGUAUCAAUCUUCUCCAUUUUCUCAAAAUGGCCAUUUUUCCUUUCGCCCUAUCUGCCUAGGGACGAGCAGAUUUGUUACCGUCCUAUCUUAUUAGAGUCUGUAAACAAGUCAAAAUAACACCUGGCAUUUAGCCAGGGGAAUGUUAGAGUUCGUAAACAAGUCUGGAUGGUGCCUGGCAAAAUGCCAGAGGGAGUGGUUUGAGAAGUAACAAAAGCAAGCCAUUAAGUGUGGAGAUUCCUGAUUGGUUGACUGCUGUAUCUAGUUUAUGCUAAUUAGAUAAGCUGUGUGGAAUGUAUAAAUACUGCUCCUGUCCUGCAAUAAACGGCUCCCUCUCCUGCUGUAUCAACGUGCACAAGUUAUUCGUCACCACCCCCACCCCCACCCCCACC